GCUUCCUAUGUGAAAUGAAGGAAAAAUCGGCAAGGAAAAGAAGGCUGAAGGAAGGGGACAGACAUCACAAAGUAGGGUUGGAGAGGAAAUAAUAAUCUUUGCUAAAAUUUAAAAUGCACUAUGUGUCAUACCCUAAAUUUUGCCCCUCUUUCACUAUCAUAUGGAUUUUUGUCGCAUUUAUUUUUCGAAUAUGUGAAUUAGCCAAUUUGGUAGGGAGGAGAGUGUUUGAGGAGUUACAAGUGCAUGGUCAUGGGUAUGGUCACGGGUUCGAAUCUCACUUGUGUGUUUUUUUCAUUUUUUUAUUAUUAAUAUCAUCAUUAUUAAAAACAAAAAAAUCAAAAAGAGAUAAGGGUCACAACUUGCGCGUGAAUCAGUCCUGAAGAAGAAAUGUUCAAUCUUGUUCAUUGAAGUAGAUUAAACACGGAGGAGCAGAUCAAAAUCAAAAAGGAAACUCAUAAUUCCAUCAUCAAGAACAUUGAAGCAGUUUAAGUGAGGAUUAUUACAGACAGAUCAAGACAGGAUUGAAAUUUGUGAUUUCAAUCAUAAAACAGAAUUAAUCUGUUUAAUUGUCUUCCAAAAAUAUGAACUAAACUCCUCUACUAUAAAUAGAGGUAGUCACACAAAGAGAAGGGGGAGAAAUCAGACACCAAAAAAGAAAAAUCAGCAGCCACAGAAAUUACACAUAAAAGAUCUGACGCAGAAAAACACACAGAACAGAGAAACAUAAAACCAUAAAAAUUCCAAUCCAAAUCCUAGCCUCCAAAUCCAGAGCAAUAACCUUGCAUAAAGUCCAAAAGAAGGAAGCAGAGAGCAGGAGAACGGGAGGAAAAUAAUAAAAAGAAGGAAUUGAGAGGAAUCUUACUCUGUUGGAAUUCACGGCACACCAGGUUCUUUUUUCACAAAUAAGGUUUUUUUGUUACUUGAAUAUUUAUUUUCAGUGUUAUCUUCAAACACGCAGUAAUUUCUUAUUAUAAUUUUAUUUUCAGUGUUAUGUUCAAACACGUAGUAAUUUCUGUGGCUUUUGAUUUUUCUUUUUUGGUGUCUGAUAUUUACCCUUCUCUUUGUGUGACUACCUCUAUUUAUAGUAGAGGAGUUGAGUUCAUAUUUUUGGAAAACAAUUAAACAGAUUAAUUCUGUUUUAUGAUUGAAAUCACAAAUUCCAAUCCUGUCUUGAUCUGUAAUAAUCCACACUUAAACUGCUUCAAUGUUCUUGAUGAUGAAAUUAUGAGUUUCCUUUUUUAUUUUGAUUUGUUGCUGUGUUUAAUCUACUUAAAUGAACAAGAUUCAAAAUUUCUUCUUCAGGACUGAUAUACGCGCCUUAUCUAUUUUUAUUUGUUUUUAAUAAUGAUGAUAUUAAUAAUAAAAAAAUGAAAUAAAAUAAAAUAAAAAAAACACACUAGUGAGAUUCGAACCCAUGACCAUGCACUUGUAACUCCUCAAACACUCUCCUCCCUACCAAAUUGGCUAAUUCACAUAUUCGAAAAUAAAUGCGACAAAAAUCCAUAUGAUAGUGAAAGACGGGCAAAAUUUAGGGUAUGACACUAUGGUAAUAAAACAUAUAAAAUAAACUUCUUAAAGAACAAGAUAAAGAAACCUUUGUUCAUUGUGCAAGUCUACAAAUCUAGUAUACAGGUGUUCACUGUGUUUGAAUCAAAACUUACUAGGUUAGGAGACAUGUAUUAACAAAGAAGUGUUUCCUUCACUGUAUCAUCUGCCGCAUCCGCUACUCAAACACAACAUAACGAGGUUUCACACAGCGUCUAGGGGCCUCUACGCAUCGCCACUAUAGUUGCCUCUGUUAACUACAGAGUGGCCACAUGUCAGUAUGACGUUUUCUAGAUCAUGAUAACAUAAUAGUCAAUUAUUAGAUAAAAAGUAUCAAAGCUCACAACAAUUCUAGGAGAAGAAGUUUGAGCACACUAUUAAUUAUUAAAAAAUAUCAAACUAGAAAUAAUAGAAUUUACCAAGUAUUUAGCUCAGGAAAUAAAGUAUUUAAAAACGAUUGUAGAAUAGCAUUACAAGAUAUGUUAAAAAUCAUUUAGUUUGAGAAAUGGAUAGAUUGGAAUUCUCAGUAUUACAUCGCUACCUCAAACACAUGAAGCUUGUUUGAUCUCUACUAUUAGGAUACUCUAAAAUCUACUAAGCACAAACGUAUAACAAAUUAUUAGCAAUGCACAAAGGAGAAGAUAAUGAAUUGCAACAAUUCUUUGAAAUGUAUGGUCAUACAUCUUAAUAAACCAGCUUUCUAGCAUCAUCUUUGGUCAAUUUUCAUCUCAAUUACAAACUCAAGUUUUGAAAUGGGGGAGUGUAUGGUUUUCACAGUAUACAUUUGACAAACCAUGAAAGUAAGGUUCCAUUAUUGUCGGAAAUCACAAGCAUAACAAAGACAUACAGAACCUAGUGAACUUAGUUAUCUUUCCGAUGUUUCAUUUGGUGCUUUCAACAAAGUUUCCUCGUGAUGAACUAUCUAGGUAAGUGAAGAUCAAACUCUUCAGUUGUAUGCAUGUAAUUGUUCCAGCAUAUGAAGAGCACGGAACUGGUUUAAUUUUACACAUGCUACCAACGUAAGUUCUAUCUCUUUCAUUUUCAAUGUAUAAACGUAAGAUAAUUAUUAUAUUCAGAAGGACAAAGAAGAGGAAGUGAAACAAGCAUUAUAGGCAUUUAUUACAACAAAUCAUCAUGUAGAUCUAAAAGACACGAGACAUUAAGACCUUUGAAACAGGAAAAACAGAAGCUUAUUAUCAAUAACUUGAUUUAUGUCCUGCUACCCGUUUCAACCGGGAAAAUGAAAAACUAGUAUAUGCAAGCUUGCUCCGGAAUCUAAUCAUAAAGUUGCAAAAGACCAAAAAUGAACCAAGUACCUCGCAACUAGCUAAAGGUGCAGCCUGCUAGACACAAACCAUUGUUUAUAGGGUAAAAUAUUUGGACCUGAUCCUCUGCAGCAUUUGCAGAGAUGUUGUAGAUCCAACUGCACUUCCUUGCACCUAGAUCCAACAGCUCUACCAUACCUGUUCAACAGCAGAUGAUUGAACAGUAGAGGGCCUUCUUUAUCUACAAAUCAUAAUAGAAUUCGGUUAUAGUGAGAUUGAUCAGAGAGAAAAAUCAUAAUAGAAUUCGGUUAUAGUGAGAUUGAUCAAAGAGAAUGUUCUCGACUGAGGGAACCAUUUGGCUAGGCUGGUAGUGAUCCUAUCAGAUUUUCUUUUCCUUUCUGUUUGCAUUGUAAUUACCCUUCCAUAUUCUGCAAUAUAACAGUGUAACAACAUCUUUCAUUUCAUCGAUUCUAUUAAAUAUAAAUUGAACUCCAACAAUUACAGUGAUUGAAAAAAAUCCUUGAAAAAUAUGAUGUAGAUUCACAGAAAAUUGGGAAGAAAAGGAUAGUUAUUAUUAAGGAAUAAAAAAAGUCAACCACAAUUGUUAUUACGACUAUCAUAAUGAAAAUACCAAAGUAUAAUUUUUAAAUAAAAUUAAAAAAAAUGUAAUCGUGAGCCAAAUGCAUUAACCAUCUUUUAUGACUAUGUAAAGAAAUAAAGAGUAGAUGGUCGAUUUGAAAUUCAAAAUAACAAAUCGUGACUUGAAAGCAUCUCACCUAGUUUUACUAUUAUAAAAGACCUCUAGAAAUCAUUUCAUGAAGAAGUUUCUCCGCCUUAUCAUUCUUGUCGUCUUCGGACAAAGCACGAAUAAGAGUUUCGUAAGUAACAGCAUCAGGGGUGCAACCGUUUUCUUCCAUUUUUGACACUAAGGACAAUGCUUCGUCAAACAAGCCCUCCUUACAAAGCCCAUUAAUCAUAACAGUAUACAUCUUCACAUCAAAAUUAUAGCCUUUAAUCAAAAGAUCCUGAUAAAUCUCUUGUGCAUCCUUAAGUCUUCCAUUUUUGCAUAGCCCAUCAAUAAGUAUUGUGUAUGUAUACAUAUCUAGCUGAAUUCCUUGGUCUUUGAUCUUCCUCAAUAAUUCAAUCGCAUUGUCAACCUGAUGAUUUUUGCACAAAGCAUCCAAUAAAGAACUAUAAGUGAUCACAUUAGCAGGUUUGCCUCUAUCAUGCAUCUCAUCAAGAAGAUCCCAAACAUCAGAUAUUCUCCCUGAUUUGCAAAGUCCAUCAAUAAGUGAAUUGUAUGUUACAGUAUUAGGAGCCAUGUUUUUCAAAUGCAUUUCUUUGAAGAGACUCACGGCUUCAUCCACCAUUUUAUUUUUGCAUAAUCCAUUAAUCAUGACAUUGUAGCUAUGAACAUUAGGUUUCACUUCCCUUCGAGCAAUAGUGUUGAAUACAUAUGUAGCCUUGUUCACUUCUUUAACCAAGAAAUACCCAUAUAUUAAAGAAGUAUACGUAGCAACAUCUGGUUUAAAACCUUGUUUUAUCAUAACAGCUAAGACAUUUCUAGCUAUUUCAAUCUCUCCUUCCUUACAUAAACCAUCAACCAACUCAGUAAAAGUAUGAACAUUCGGGCUAAUAUUUUUCAACAACAUUUCAUUUAACAAACCAACCGCUUCGUUCAAUUGACCCACACUGCAAAGACCAUAUAUUAAAGUAGUGUACGUAACAACAUCCGGAGCAAUUUUCUUGACAAUCAUUUCAGAAUAUAAAUGAAAGGCAUCACUCACAAGUUUAUCCUUGCACAGACUAUUAAUGACCGUGUUGUACAUUACCACGUUUGGUUUAACCAUUAACUCUUCAAUCUUUCUAAGAAUCUCUAGGGCAGCUUUUGUUUCUCCGGUUUUACAUAACGCGUUAAUCAAGAUGUUAUAACUAACUCGAUCAAGGUGAAAUCCCUUUGAUAUAACAUCGUCAUGAAAAUGCAAUGCUUUAUUAACCUGACCACUAAGACACAUGCCAUUGAUAAGUGUAGUCAUUGUUACUGUAUCAGGUUGAUAACCUAAUUUGAUAAUUUUCCCCAAUACAGAAAAUGCAAAAUUGAGUUGAUGAAUUUGGCAAAAACAAUUGAUUAAGAUGUUUAAAGUAACAAUAUUAGGUUGAAUUUGUUUGAGUUCCAUUUGAUGAGAGAGGGAAAUAACAGUAUGAAAAUGAUUGAUUUUAACAAGAGAACCUAAAAUCUUACCAAAUUUGAUAAUGGAUGGUGUAGGUUUGAUAUAUAGCAUUUGAUUGAAUGAAGAAACUGCAUCAUCAACAUCAAC
This 5128-nucleotide long non-coding RNA is filed under the name Trifolium pratense (red clover). RNAcentral describes it as "long non-coding RNA (TPRA_LNC000647)". Lineage: Eukaryota; Viridiplantae; Streptophyta; Magnoliopsida; Fabales; Fabaceae. The record is from RNAcentral.